This 467-nucleotide ribosomal RNA is filed under the name uncultured bacterium. RNAcentral describes it as "partial 16S ribosomal RNA". It matches the Rfam family "Bacterial small subunit ribosomal RNA", at positions 28 to 506 of the family's 1533-position model. The record is from RNAcentral.
GACGAACGCUGGCGGCGUGCUUAACACAUGCAAGUCGAACGGAAAGGCCCUGCUUUUGUGGGGUGCUCGAGUGGCGAACGGGUGAGUAACACGUGAGUAACCUGCCCUUGACUUUGGGAUAACUUCAGGAAACUGGGGCUAAUACCGGAUAGGAGCUCCUGCUGCAUGGUGGGGGUUGGAAAGUUUCGGCGGUUGGGGAUGGACUCGCGGCUUAUCAGCUUGUUGGUGGGGUAGUGGCUUACCAAGGCUUUGACGGGUAGCCGGCCUGAGAGGGUGACCGGCCACAGUGGGACGGAGAUACGGCCCAGACUCCUACGGGAGGCAGCGGUGGGGAAUAUGGCACAAGGGGCGGAAGCCUGAGGCAGCAACGCCGCGUGCGGGAGGACGGCCUUCGGGUUGUAAACCGCUUUCGCCUGUGACGAAGCGUGAGUGACGGUAAUGGGUAAAGAAGCACCGGCUAACUACGU